UACGUAGGGUCCGAGCGUUGUCCGGAAUUAUUGGGCGUAAAGGGCGCGUAGGCGGCCUGCUAAGUCGGAUGUGAAAUCCCUCGGCUCAACCGAGGAACUGCAUCCGAUACUGGCGGGCUUGAGUCCGGGAGAGGGAUGUGGAAUUCCAGGUGUAGCGGUGAAAUGCGUAGAUAUCUGGAGGAACACCGGUGGCGAAGGCGGCAUCCUGGACCGGUAUUGACGCUGAGGCGCGAAAGCGAGGGGAGCAAACGGG
Molecule: ribosomal RNA, 253 nt
Filed under: uncultured bacterium
Lineage: Bacteria
Description: partial 16S ribosomal RNA
Rfam family: Bacterial small subunit ribosomal RNA
Source: RNAcentral